This 567-nucleotide long non-coding RNA is filed under the name Monodelphis domestica (gray short-tailed opossum). Its description in RNAcentral is "lncRNA (ENSMODG00000037022.1)". Lineage: Eukaryota; Metazoa; Chordata; Mammalia; Didelphimorphia; Didelphidae. The record is from RNAcentral.
CCAGAGUUGACAAGUGUAAUAGAGAGGGAGAGAGGGACUUGAAAGAUGAAGGGACCAGAAAAACAGUGGUUUUGGGGGCCUGAGUUCUGGGCAGCACCUUCCCUUUUCCUCCCACUAAGCUAGAUAGCGAUAAUGGAGUCAGUCAGUCCAGACCAGAGGAUGGACGAGUGGAAAUGUUGUGGUUACUUCCAGCUGGACCCAGAUGAAGCAUAUGUGCCUAGUUGGGUGAUAUUGGCUAAAGUGUAUUCUAAAGUCCAGGUUCUAAAAUUUAUGGCCAAUACAGUAACCCUGGCUAAAUUUUGGAGGGAUAUAUGCCAGAAACUGCAUAAUUGACUGCUGAGCUCCAGAGCCCAGACACCACGUGAUCCAGUCACAGCCACACUGAGCAUGGAGACCAGCAGGAUUUUGUGAUAGAAAGAAAUGACUUAAAACCUUUCAAAAAUAUUUUCUUUGGCUGAAAGAGAUGAACAACAUUUAUGUCCUUUCAUUUAUGGCAUAAGUGGGCAAAUGUGGAAACAUGUGGAAUUACUGAACUGGACUCAAAAAAUAAACAAAGCUGGGAACACA